This 253-nucleotide ribosomal RNA is filed under the name uncultured bacterium. RNAcentral's name for it is "partial 16S ribosomal RNA". It matches the Rfam family "Bacterial small subunit ribosomal RNA", at positions 524 to 776 of the family's 1533-position model. The record is from RNAcentral.
UACGUAGGGGGCAAGCGUUGUCCGGAAUCAUUGGGCGUAAAGCGCGUGUAGGCGGCCCGGUAAGUCCGCUGUGAAAGUCGGGGGCUCAACCCUCGGAUGCCGGUGGAUACUGUCGGGCUAGAGUGCGGGAGAGGCGAGUGGGAUUCCUGGUGUAGCGGUGAAAUGCGCAGAUAUCAGGAGGAACACCAAUUGCGAAGGCAGCUCGCUGGAACGUUACUGACGCUGAGACGCGAAAGCGUGGGGAGCAAACAGG